RNAcentral lists this ribosomal RNA (319 nucleotides) under uncultured eukaryote. RNAcentral's name for it is "partial 18S ribosomal RNA". It matches the Rfam family "Eukaryotic small subunit ribosomal RNA", at positions 1470 to 1796 of the family's 1831-position model. The record is from RNAcentral.
CCCUUAGAUGUCCUGGGCUGCACGCGCGCUACACUGAUGAAUUCAACGAGCCUAGCCUUGUCCGAAAGGUCCGGGUAAUCUCUGAAACUUCAUCGUGAUGGGGAUAGAUCAUUGCAAUUAUUGAUCUUCAACGAGGAAUUCCUAGUAAGCGCAAGUCAUCAGCUUGCGUUGAUUACGUCCCUGCCCUUUGUACACACCGCCCGUCGCUUGUACCGAUUGGAUGGUCCGGUGAAAUCUUCGGAUAGCUGGUAGUUGGCUUGCCAUCUACUGCUAAAAGUUGCUUAAACCUUAUCAUCUAGAGGAACAAGAAGUCGUAACA